UGAACGCUGGCGGCAGGCCUAACACAUGCAAGUCGAGCGGAUGAAGGGAGCUUGCUCCUGGAUUCAGCGGCGGACGGGUGAGUAAUGCCUAGGAAUCUGCCUGGUAGUGGGGGAUAACGUCCGGAAACGGGCGCUAAUACCGCAUACGUCCUGAGGGAGAAAGUGGGGGAUCUUCGGACCUCACGCUAUCAGAUGAGCCUAGGUCGGAUUAGCUAGUUGGUGGGGUAAAGGCCUACCAAGGCGACGAUCCGUAACUGGUCUGAGAGGAUGAUCAGUCACACUGGAACUGAGACACGGUCCAGACUCCUACGGGAGGCAGCAGUGGGGAAUAUUGGACAAUGGGCGAAAGCCUGAUCCAGCCAUGCCGCGUGUGUGAAGAAGGUCUUCGGAUUGUAAAGCACUUUAAGUUGGGAGGGAGGGCAGUAAGUUAAUACCUUGCUGUUUUGACGUUACCAACAGAAUAAGCACCGGCUAACUUCGUG
This 482-nucleotide ribosomal RNA is filed under the name uncultured bacterium. Its description in RNAcentral is "partial 16S ribosomal RNA". It matches the Rfam family "Bacterial small subunit ribosomal RNA", at positions 30 to 507 of the family's 1533-position model. The record is from RNAcentral.